UACGUAGGGGGCAAGCGUUGUCCGGAAUCAUUGGGCGUAAAGAGCGUGUAGGCGGCCCGGUAAGUCCGCUGUGAAAGUCCAGGGCUCAACCCUGGAAUGCCGGUGGAUACUGUCGGGCUAGAGUGCGGAAGAGGCGAGUGGAAUUCCUGGUGUAGCGGUGAAAUGCGCAGAUAUCAGGAGGAACACCUAUUGCGAAGGCAGCUCGCUGGGACGUAACUGACGCUGAGACGCGAAAGCGUGGGGAGCAAACAGG
This 253-nucleotide ribosomal RNA is filed under the name uncultured bacterium. RNAcentral describes it as "partial 16S ribosomal RNA". It matches the Rfam family "Bacterial small subunit ribosomal RNA", at positions 524 to 776 of the family's 1533-position model. The record is from RNAcentral.